Topomyia yanbarensis is the source of this 1479-nucleotide long non-coding RNA. RefSeq lists it as uncharacterized. Lineage: Eukaryota; Metazoa; Arthropoda; Insecta; Diptera; Culicidae. The transcript is spliced from 5 exons. The record is from RefSeq and is a predicted model, not a curated record.
CGUUGCAACACCUGGUUACGCCGCGCAAAAUACAAACAAAACAAACCGACCGAUUAAAAUUGUUAUUCAAAAAAAAAUGUUAUUACUUGAUUUCGUCCGUUUUUAAAUUCACCUGGGACCUAGUGCAAUUUUGCGGUUGUUUCUGCUGCCACACAAGGCCAACGGGUAUGUUUUUGGAUUUUUUAGAGAAGUAGCACACAGCGAACAGCUAUAUUCAGAAACGAGUCUUCCUGUUGUAUCGCUCAAACUUACGAACCUGAACCACAGCUUUAUCUCACCGAUGGAAUUAUUUACGAGUUUGACAAAAGCAUUUCGGAUGGUCAAGAAGAAUGAAUGAAAGACUUAAUAUAGGACCUAAUAUACUGUAACCGUUUCCUGUUGAAAAAUUUUUACAGAUCUCCGGAUAAACGAAAGCACUUACGUUUUACAUAUGUACAUGAAAUUGUUGGCGCGGUCCUGGGAACACGAUACACUAAUAGAGUGAUACAAGUGAAAAGGAUCAAAACCGAUCAGCGGAUGCAUUGCUCAGAACUAUACGAUGGAUAAGAUGGACCCAAAAGAUUUCGAAUUUACAAUGUCGUAUCAAGUUAUCUGUAAGCCGUAAGGAGCAGAGGUCGAAUUGGUACCGGAAACGAUUUGUUGUUGAAGAGUUAAUAUCUAAAAAAAUGACCAUCACAUCACAAGUGUGUGUCGAUUAAUCCACUAGGGCUGUGCCAUUAAAUGUUGACAAAAACAAAUAGAACAUAGAGACACUCGAUCCAUCAUUGUAAUUGCAAUUUUAUUGAAUUCGUUAUUCAAUCGUUUGACUCACAGAUUGCCGGAUAAGAAAUAACGUAUAAGUUUGAAAAGAAUCCACUUGGGACUGUGAUCAGUCCCUGGCAUAACAAAUGAUCGUUAGUCGGCCACUUCAUGACGCAGUUAUCGAAUGAUUCUGUUUACUGCUAUUCAUCUAAUUUUCAGUGUCGGAAUAAAUGGCUGAUGUCAAGUAACGAAAUUCCCUAUAGAACAACAGAAAAUACUUUUCCACCAACGUCGACUCGGUUGAAAUCCAAGUUCAACGAACUCCAUUUGGAACUAUAGUGAACUGCAAGUAGAUGUCGAUUACUGCACAGAAUGUAGACUCAAGAAAGUUCAGGACUAUUUCAGCAACACUUUUAUCCCAUCAGAUCUGGACAGAGUGAAAUCAACUUAACUUUAAUAUCAGCUUUAUAAUUUCCGCUGAACAUAAUAUGAAUGGUUCAACGCUGCAGGAUUCAUUCAAAACAUGAGCGUAUGGCAAAAAAGUUGCUGUUUUGUAUCAAGAAGUUUUGCGCCGGCUGUAGGUCGCCAGGAACCGUCCGCAACUACCAAGUAUUACUUUAACUAUACGGAGCCGACGACAAUUACAAAAAAAAGUUUGUAUAUGGGAAGCUUGCCAUUGGCUUACUUCGUUCUGUUCUCAGUUUUUGACAAACUCAUCCUAAACCAAUGAUGUAGCAG